RNAcentral lists this ribosomal RNA (2908 nucleotides) under Serratia marcescens. RNAcentral's name for it is "23S ribosomal RNA". It matches the Rfam family "Bacterial large subunit ribosomal RNA". The record is from RNAcentral. Lineage: Bacteria; Pseudomonadati; Pseudomonadota; Gammaproteobacteria; Enterobacterales; Yersiniaceae.
GGUUAAGUGACUAAGCGUACACGGUGGAUGCCUAGGCAGUCAGAGGCGAUGAAGGGCGUGCUAAUCUGCGAAAAGCGUCGGUAAGGUGAUAUGAACCGUUAUAACCGGCGAUACCCGAAUGGGGAAACCCAGUGUGUUUCGACACACUAUCAUGUCAUGAAUACAUAGUGGCAUGAGGCGAACCGGGGGAACUGAAACAUCUAAGUACCCCGAGGAAAAGAAAUCAACCGAGAUUCCCCCAGUAGCGGCGAGCGAACGGGGAGGAGCCCAGAACCUGAAUCGGCUUGUGUGUUAGUGGAAGCGUCUGGAAAGUCGCGCAGCAAAGGGUGAUAGCCCCGUACACUAAAAUGCACAGGUCGUGAGUUCGAUGAGUAGGGCGGGACACGUGACAUCCUGUCUGAAUAUGGGGGGACCAUCCUCCAAGGCUAAAUACUCCUGACUGACCGAUAGUGAACCAGUACCGUGAGGGAAAGGCGAAAAGAACCCCGGCGAGGGGAGUGAAAUAGAACCUGAAACCGUGUACGUACAAGCAGUGGGAGCACCUUCGUGGUGUGACUGCGUACCUUUUGUAUAAUGGGUCAGCGACUUAUAUUUUGUAGCAAGGUUAACCGUAUAGGGGAGCCGUAGGGAAACCGAGUCUUAACUGGGCGACUAGUUGCAAGGUAUAGACCCGAAACCCGGUGAUCUAGCCAUGGGCAGGUUGAAGGUUGGGUAACACUAACUGGAGGACCGAACCGACUAAUGUUGAAAAAUUAGCGGAUGACUUGUGGCUGGGGGUGAAAGGCCAAUCAAACCGGGAGAUAGCUGGUUCUCCCCGAAAGCUAUUUAGGUAGCGCCUCGUGAACUCAUCUUCGGGGGUAGAGCACUGUUUCGGCUAGGGGGCCAUCCCGGCUUACCAAACCGAUGCAAACUCCGAAUACCGAAGAAUGUUAUCACGGGAGACACACGGCGGGUGCUAACGUCCGUCGUGAAGAGGGAAACAACCCAGACCGCCAGCUAAGGUCCCAAAGUCAUGGUUAAGUGGGAAACGAUGUGGGAAGGCAUAGACAGCCAGGAUGUUGGCUUAGAAGCAGCCAUCAUUUAAAGAAAGCGUAAUAGCUCACUGGUCGAGUCGGCCUGCGCGGAAGAUGUAACGGGGCUAAACCAUGCACCGAAGCUGCGGCAGCGACGCUUAGGCGUUGUUGGGUAGGGGAGCGUUCUGUAAGCCGUUGAAGGUGGCCUGUGAGGGUUGCUGGAGGUAUCAGAAGUGCGAAUGCUGACAUAAGUAACGAUAAAGCGGGUGAAAAGCCCGCUCGCCGGAAGACCAAGGGUUCCUGUCCAACGUUAAUCGGGGCAGGGUGAGUCGACCCCUAAGGCGAGGCUGAAAAGCGUAGUCGAUGGGAAACAGGUUAAUAUUCCUGUACUUGGUGUUACUGCGAAGGGGGGACGGAGAAGGCUAGGCUGGCCGGGCGACGGUUGUCCCGGUUUAAGCGUGUAGGGGGUGUGACCUGGUAAAUCCGGUUGCAUAUCAACCCUGAGGCGUGAUGACGAUGCACUACGGUGCAGAAGUAGUUGAUGCCCUGCUUCCAGGAAAAUCCUCUAAGCUCCAGGUAACAUUAAAUCGUACCCCAAACCGACACAGGUGGUCAGGUAGAGAAUACCAAGGCGCUUGAGAGAACUCGGGUGAAGGAACUAGGCAAAAUGGUGCCGUAACUUCGGGAGAAGGCACGCUGGCAUGUAGGUGAAGUCCCUUGCGGAUGGAGCUGAAGCCAGUCGAAGAUACCAGCUGGCUGCAACUGUUUAAUAAAAACACAGCACUGUGCAAACACGAAAGUGGACGUAUACGGUGUGACGCCUGCCCGGUGCUGGAAGGUUAAUUGAUGGGGUCAGCCGCAAGGCGAAGCUCUUGAUCGAAGCCCCAGUAAACGGCGGCCGUAACUAUAACGGUCCUAAGGUAGCGAAAUUCCUUGUCGGGUAAGUUCCGACCUGCACGAAUGGCGUAAUGAUGGCCAGGCUGUCUCCACCCGAGACUCAGUGAAAUUGAACUCGCUGUGAAGAUGCAGUGUACCCGCGGCAAGACGGAAAGACCCCGUGAACCUUUACUAUAGCUUGACACUGAACAUUGAGCCUUGAUGUGUAGGAUAGGUGGGAGGCUUUGAAGCGUGGACGCCAGUCUGCGUGGAGCCAUCCUUGAAAUACCACCCUUUAAUGUUUGAUGUUCUAACUCGGCCCCGUGAUCCGGGGUGAGGACAGUGUCUGGUGGGUAGUUUGACUGGGGCGGUCUCCUCCCAAAGAGUAACGGAGGAGCACGAAGGUUAGCUAAUCACGGUCGGACAUCGUGAGGUUAGUGCAAAGGCAUAAGCUAGCUUGACUGCGAGAGUGACGGCUCGAGCAGGUACGAAAGUAGGUCUUAGUGAUCCGGUGGUUCUGAAUGGAAGGGCCAUCGCUCAACGGAUAAAAGGUACUCCGGGGAUAACAGGCUGAUACCGCCCAAGAGUUCAUAUCGACGGCGGUGUUUGGCACCUCGAUGUCGGCUCAUCACAUCCUGGGGCUGAAGUAGGUCCCAAGGGUAUGGCUGUUCGCCAUUUAAAGUGGUACGCGAGCUGGGUUUAGAACGUCGUGAGACAGUUCGGUCCCUAUCUGCCGUGGGCGUUGGAAGAUUGAGAGGGGUUGCUCCUAGUACGAGAGGACCGGAGUGAACGCACCACUGGUGUUCGGGUUGUCAUGCCAAUGGCAUUGCCCGGUAGCUAAGUGCGGAAAAGAUAAGCGCUGAAAGCAUCUAAGCGCGAAACUUGCCUCAAGAUGAGUCUUCCCUGGGCCUUCAAGGUCCCUGAAGGAACGUUUAAGACUAAGACGUUGAUAGGCUGGGUGUGUAAGUGCAGCGAUGCAUUGAGCUAACCAGUACUAAUGAUCCGUGAGGCUUAACCUU